GACACUUUGGCCGAGUGGUUAAGGCGAUCGCCUGCUACUUAUGGUAGUUCUUAGCGGUUGGGUUUAUCCCACGUGUGUUCGAAUCACACAGGUGUCG
Mycena vulgaris is the source of this 97-nucleotide non-coding RNA. The record is from the annotation of a GenBank genome assembly. Lineage: Eukaryota; Fungi; Basidiomycota; Agaricomycetes; Agaricales; Mycenaceae.